This is a long non-coding RNA of Apis laboriosa (Himalayan honeybee), 809 nucleotides long. RefSeq lists it as uncharacterized. Lineage: Eukaryota; Metazoa; Arthropoda; Insecta; Hymenoptera; Apidae. The transcript is spliced from 3 exons. The record is from RefSeq and is a predicted model, not a curated record.
CGAUGCAACAGCAGUCCGCGAUGCUCGUGCUCAGCUCGAGACCCGCUGAGUUCUCUGGACACCGAUCGCACGAAAGCAGUGGAACAAAUGGGACCGUAAAGCCUAUGAAGUGGCUUCGUAUAUAUAUAAAGAGAUUCAAAGACUGCUUCUUGUGAUACCCUGUAAAACGAAACGUAGGAAGUAGAACCUGCUUAUACAAGAUCACAUUUUAACCUAGUUGGAAAUGUUAUGGUAAACGAUCCCACGAUUAAAGUGAAAAACAACAUACGAAAUUUAUAUUUUAAUUAUCCUAAUUUUCCUUCAAACUUAACUUCGUUUAUUUUCCAUAGUUAAAUUAUCCUCCAACAAAAUUGACAUUCAACUACUGAACGAGACUUCGAAGAAUAGAUUUCUUGCAUCGAGAUAUUUCAAAGUCUCUCUGAAAUGUCACAGUCACUUCGUGAUGAUUAUUCGCGUCAUUUCACGCGGUUCAACUGAUACACGUGCAAGAACGAUUGCGGUAAAGAGGAUAAGGGAGGUAGACAAUGGCGUCGAGGCAAGGUGACGUUGUUUCUUCCCACGAACGAGCCCGGAGAUAAACUCCUCUGAAAUAGAUCUCUGACUCUUGUGUGUAUGCAACACGAUGUACGGAAAGUAUAUAUGCUGGAAAGUAGAACCCAUCUAAUCUCCUUUCUGGAAAUCCUCCCGAGAUACCGAGAUACGUUCCGAAAUGUCUGCUUCGAUCUUUAUUUUGACAUUUUACGCUGCACGACUAAGAACGUGAUACAGCGUAAAGAUAUUAAAAAGAAAGAUAACGAACUACAUAUCGG